AGCCAUCUGAGAUUGAGCAAUAACAGGUCUGUGAAGUGCCCUUAGAAUGUCUGAGGCUGCAUGCACACUACACUGACUGGCUCAGCCUGUGCCUACUCUAGUGCCAGCAGGAGCGAGUUACCCAUUGAUCCCCGUUCUUGAUGGGGAUCGGGAAUUGCAAUUAUUCCCCAUGAAUGAGGAAUUCCCUGUAAGUGCGGGUCAUAAGCUUGAGUUGAUUAAGUCCUUGCCCUUUGUACACACAGUGAAGCCCAAUACUAUUACCAAUUGGAUGGUUUAGUGAGGCCCUCAGAUCGGCCCUGCAGGGGUCUGCACAUGGACCUGGCUGAGAGCUAAGAAGGAAAACUUGACUAUCUAGAGGAAGUAAAAGUCCCAACAAUGUUUCCCUAGGUGAACCUGAAGAAGGAUCAUUA
RNAcentral lists this ribosomal RNA (410 nucleotides) under Cricetulus sp. RNAcentral's name for it is "SSU rRNA". It matches the Rfam family "Eukaryotic small subunit ribosomal RNA", at positions 1432 to 1831 of the family's 1831-position model. Lineage: Eukaryota; Metazoa; Chordata; Mammalia; Rodentia; Cricetidae. The record is from RNAcentral.